Long non-coding RNA from Schistocerca serialis cubense, 936 nucleotides. RefSeq lists it as uncharacterized. The transcript has 2 exons. Lineage: Eukaryota; Metazoa; Arthropoda; Insecta; Orthoptera; Acrididae. The record is from RefSeq and is a predicted model, not a curated record.
CUCACACUUCGCAGGCAUGCUGGUUGCUGGCAAUGGCAUAGUAAUCUGCGUGUGUUUGGUGUGGGGGUUAUGUUCCUGAAACCUCGGAUUAAGGGCGGAACUAACUUUAAACUGGUUACUGGGUUAUGUUUGUGCGUCGACAUAUUUUAUAAAGGCUCGUUACUAAAUCGUAUGCUGGAUAUUAUACGUGACAUAAUUUUCGUUACUUACAUCUCGAAAAUGUCAAAAUCCCUAUAAAAAAUAUAUUUGCAAUUUCUUUAAAGGUGUCUAACCACACUUGGCAUGUACGUCAAUUACUUAUUUUACUGCACCGAAGCUUCGUCGAUCGGAUAUUUGUUUCGCGUCACAUUAUUACCGUGCUAAUAUUUGACUGGCUGCAUUAAUUGCUGUAGCCAUUCCCACUCUGUACAUGUUUGGGGUGUCUUCUGUAUCCAACGGGAUUUCAGUUAAUUUUGGGGUUAUGUUGAUGCUCACCAAUACGAACGUGUGGAGGACUACUAUAUGGUGCACACAGCCUCAUGAUGUCAACUGAGGAGCGACUUGAAUGAGAUGUAGCAGCUCCCAGGUCUGGAAAGUCAUUAAAUCGGCCGGGAGAGCAGUGUGAUGGCCACAUACCCCUCGAUUCAGCAUUCACAUAAUGCUAAAUGAUUCGGCAGCCGGUCAACAUCCAUUGGACCUUCAGGGCCUCGAAGAGUAGCUGAAGCGAAUAGUAUUUUAUGUCCCUACACCAGCUAUUUCAAGGCAGACAGACCAUCUAUCACUGCUGUAUACUGACCGUGUAUGGUGAUGAAGUUCCAGAUGAAUGCUGAUUGUCCAUGGGAUUAAAUCACACUAUAUAAUUUGUUUGUCAUUUUGAAUGACAAUCAUGGUGCAAUACUCAUCUUGGUUUUGAUGUUAUAUAAAUCUAAUACUUAAAUAAGAUUUUCAUUUUUCUGA